AGGGAAGUUUCCAAGUGGUCAAAGGGGAUAAACUGUAAAUCUGUUGGCUCAACCUUCUGAGAUUCGAAUGCUUUCCUCUCCACCA
Molecule: transfer RNA, 85 nt
Filed under: Acidiferrobacteraceae bacterium
Lineage: Bacteria; Pseudomonadati; Pseudomonadota; Gammaproteobacteria; Acidiferrobacterales; Acidiferrobacteraceae
Description: tRNA-Tyr
Source: RNAcentral